Molecule: ribosomal RNA, 543 nt
Filed under: Collozoum sp. TB-2015
Lineage: Eukaryota; Polycystinea; Collodaria; Sphaerozoidae
Description: eukaryotic LSU rRNA
Rfam family: Eukaryotic large subunit ribosomal RNA
Source: RNAcentral
GUAGUUUUAUUCUUUGGAUGGCUUUUGAUGGUAACAAUCUCAAUCAAAUAUGAGAUCACGGAGGGAUGUUUGCCCGUAUGUUGCCGAUUCAGAAGCUAACUUCAACGAUUUUGUAGAGUAGCGCUCUUUGAUAAUAGAGCUCGAAGCUUGUGGUGAUACUCAUAAAAGACUCAUCAUUGGUGAGAGACCUUUAGCGUACAAGUACCGUGAGGGAAAGAUGAAAAGAACUUUGGAGAGAGAGUUAAACAGUAUGCGAACAUGUUAGUGGAAAGCGGAUCAAGCUCAUGAGCAUUUCUUCAAGACAAUCACAUCCUACUUUUACUCUAAGAUUAGAUAAAAGUUAUCAGGCUGGUUAGUCAAAAUGAAAGGUAACGAUGCUUCAACCUAAUCUGAUCCGACCCGUCUGGAAACACGGACCAAGGAGUCUAGUAUUGGUGCAGGUAAUUGAAAAGCUGAAAUUCUUAUACACAGGAAAUUUAGAUCGUGUUUAUCGUGUCAUGAUGAUAGUAUCGCGGGCAGUGUUUUUACCUACCAAGAGCAUGA